GGGUGCGUGUUACACAUUCAUUUGUUCACACUCGGGCCAUCGGUGUGUGACUGCUAUCUCACAGAUGAGAGCAGACAUACAUGCACCAAACUUCUGAAGACCAGUGUUGAUGUGAACUUCAAUCUCAAAACAGCUUUGAUGAACCUGUGCCCACUGUAACCUCGGAUUCCUGUUCUUGGCUGAUAGGAGUGGAACCCGAUAUGAUCUUCUGCUGUUGUAUCCAAUCUGCCACAAAGUUUGUCUUUUUGUGUGUUCUGGGAUGCUUCUCUGCUCACUACGAUUGUAAAGAGUGGUGACUUGAGUUAUAAUAGCCAUUCUGUCAGCUCAAACAGGGCGUUUUCACACCUGGCUCAUUUGGAACGUUUGUUUUGGAACCUGCUGCAUUUGAUCCCUUGGCUUGGUUCAUUUAGAGAUAUAUGAACAUGCCAAUUGUGCUCGGAUCAGCAUCAAAACAAUCGGGCCGAGACCACCUCAUUCAUUGCAAACGAAUUCAGAGAAAGCAAUCCGACCCAACGGACCGACGAAACAACCUGUAUAGUAAUGCAUGAUGAAAACUGUGAAAGCGUGUUUGCUUCGCUAAUGGCUCACAACAUGAAUCGCAGUUUAACACUGAUCAAAGACGAGGUAAAAUGCCUCAUUUCAGUUUGGUCUGAUGAACAUGUUUUUGAACAACUUUCUAUCCAUCUUUAUGGAUGACUGCUAUGAGCAGAACCUUGGAACAUAAACAGGUGCACUCUGUCCUAUGAGAGGACAGUUUACUCAAAUGUGACUAGCACAAACACAUUCUGGUACGCUUUGAAAUGUUGUCUUGUGGAUGCAACAUUGUAACAAUUUAAUUCCCUUUUUCGGAACAAAUCACAGAUCUACAGGUCUGAAAAUGUCCUUAGAGUAAACUCCAGAGACUGCUGUGUGUGAAAAUCCCUGGAGAUCAGCAGCUUCUGAAAUACUCAAACCAGCACAUCCGGCAUCAAACAACCAUGCUACAGUCAAAGUCAGCAAGAUCAUAUUUUUUCUCCAUUGUGAUGUUUGAUGUGGAAUUGACCUUGACCUGUACCUUUACACACUGCAUUGCUACCACAUGAUUGGAUAAUUGCACAAAUAUGCAGGUGUUCCUAAUAUAGUGGUCGUGAGUGUGUGUAAACUAUAACUGAGAACUAUACAUUUUGGUGGAUAUUAUUUUUUCCCCAACCACAUCAAGUAUACAUUUUUCUACUUGACACAAGCAGCAUGGUUUAUAAAAUAAAAAAUUUCAUACUAUGUUAUGGUCCUAGAUGAAUGUAUUACCUGUCACUGAGCAUAAGACUCAGAUAUAUUGCUGGUCUAAUAUUGAUCAUAUACAGUGGUACUGCAUUUACAAUAAUCUAAUUAAGCAGCACAGAGUGAAUGCCCCAUGUUUCUCCUAUAUGCAGUUUACAUUUGAAGCCUUUAUCCAGAACACCACAUUGAAGUGCUUUGAAGUCUACAUGGAAAACAUAUACCCAUUCUAGUAUAAAUAGCUCAAGGUCUGUGAAUAUCACUAAGUCAAAACCCUGUGAAUAUAAAUCUCACCCAGUGUGAAUUGUGAACCUGGAAAUAAAAGUUAUG
This is a long non-coding RNA of Ictalurus punctatus (channel catfish), 1584 nucleotides long. RefSeq lists it as uncharacterized. NCBI's taxonomy places the organism in Eukaryota, Metazoa, Chordata, Actinopteri, Siluriformes, Ictaluridae. The record is from RefSeq and is a predicted model, not a curated record. The transcript has 3 exons.